Molecule: ribosomal RNA, 407 nt
Filed under: uncultured bacterium
Lineage: Bacteria
Description: partial 16S ribosomal RNA
Rfam family: Bacterial small subunit ribosomal RNA
Source: RNAcentral
UGGGGAAUAUUGCACAAUGGGCGAAAGCCUGAUGCAGCAACGCCGCGUGAGGGAUGACGGCCUUCGGGUUGUAAACCUCUUUUAGUAGGGAAGAAGCGAAAGUGACGGUACCUGCAGAAAAAGCACCGGCUAACUACGUGCCAGCAGCCGCGGUAAUACGUAGGGUGCAAGCGUUGUCCGGAAUUAUUGGGCGUAAAGAGCUCGUAGGCGGUUUGUCGCGUCUGCUGUGAAAUCCCGAGGCUCAACCUCGGGUCUGCAGUGGGUACGGGCAGACUAGAGUGUGGUAGAGGAGAUUGGAAUUCCUGGUGUAGCGGUGGAAUGCGCAGAUAUCAGGAGGAACACCGAUGGCGAAGGCAGAUCUCUGGGCCAUUACUGACGCUGAGGAGCGAAAGCAUGGGGAGCGAACA